This 89-nucleotide unclassified non-coding RNA is filed under the name Pseudomonas sp. bs2935. Lineage: Bacteria; Pseudomonadati; Pseudomonadota; Gammaproteobacteria; Pseudomonadales; Pseudomonadaceae. The record is from RNAcentral.
UGUGGGAGCGGGCUUGCUCGCGAAUGCGGUGGGUCAGUUGAUACAACUUUGACUGAUCCUCCGCUAUCGCGGGCAAGCCCGCUCCCACA